AUUGAACGCUGGCGGCAGGCCUAACACAUGCAAGUCGAACGGUAACAGGAAGACGCUUGCUUCUUUGCUGACGAGUGGCGGACGGGUGAGUAAUGUCUGGGAAACUGCCUGAUGGAGGGGGAUAACUACUGGAAACGGUAGCUAAUACCGCAUAACGUCGCAAGACCAAAGAGGGGGACCUUCGGGCCUCUGGCCAUCGGAUGUGCCCAGAUGGGAUUAGCUAGUAGGUGGGGUAACGUCUCACCUAGGCGACGAUCCCUAGCUGGUCUGAGAGGAUGACCAGCCACACUGGAACUGAGCCACGGUCCAGACUCCUACGGGAGGCAGCAGUGGGGAAUAUUGCACAAUGGGCGCAAGCCUGAUGCAGCCAUGCCGCGUGUAUGAAGAAGGCGUUCGGGUUGUAAAGUCCUUUCAGCGGGGGGGAAGGGAGUAAAGUUAAUACCUUUGCUCAUUGACGUUACCCGCAGAAGAAGCACCGGCUAACUCCGUG
Molecule: ribosomal RNA, 490 nt
Filed under: uncultured bacterium
Lineage: Bacteria
Description: partial 16S ribosomal RNA
Rfam family: Bacterial small subunit ribosomal RNA
Source: RNAcentral